UGGGGAAUAUUGCACAAUGGGCGAAAGCCUGAUGCAGCAACGCCGCGUGAGUGAUGAAGGUCUUCGGAUUGUAGAGCUCUGUCUUUUGGGACGAUAAUGACGGUACCAAAGGAGGAAGCCACGGCUAACUACGUGCCAGCAGCCGCGGUAAUACGUAGGUGGCGAGCGUUGUCCGGAUUUACUGGGCGUAAAGGGUGCGUAGGCGGAUGUUUAAGUGAGAUGUGAAAUACCCGGGCUUAACUUGGGUGCUGCAUUUCAAACUGGAUAUCUAGAGUGCAGGAGAGGAGAAUGGAAUUCCUAGUGUAGCGGUGAAAUGCGUAGAGAUUAGGAAGAACACCAGUGGCGAAGGCGAUUCUCUGGACUGUAACUGACGCUGAGGCACGAAAGCGUGGGUAGCAAACAGGAUUAGAUACCCUGGUAGUCCACGCCGUAAACGAUGAGUACUAGGUGUAGGAGGUAUCGACCCCUUCUGUGCCGCAGUAAACACAUUAAGUACUCCGCCUGGG
Molecule: ribosomal RNA, 506 nt
Filed under: uncultured bacterium
Lineage: Bacteria
Description: partial 16S ribosomal RNA
Rfam family: Bacterial small subunit ribosomal RNA
Source: RNAcentral